RNAcentral lists this transfer RNA (67 nucleotides) under unidentified. RNAcentral's name for it is "Cryptocephalus dimidiatipennis tRNA-Val". The record is from RNAcentral.
CAAAUUAGAGCUUGAAUUAAGUUUUUUAUUUACACUAAGAAGAUGAUUGGUAUCCAAUUUAAUUUGA